Molecule: transfer RNA, 67 nt
Filed under: Bankia sp. TBF03
Lineage: Eukaryota; Metazoa; Mollusca; Bivalvia; Myida; Teredinidae
Also listed under: 1 other name
Description: tRNA-Tyr
Source: RNAcentral
GGGAAGGCGGCCGCAGAGGUGUUAAGUUGUAGCCUUAAUUAUGAAAUGAUAGAUGUUUCUCUUCCUA